AUAUGAAAACAGAUAGUUCACUCGGCCGAGAACAAUAGAAAAAAAUCAAGCUCUCUGAUUAGCAGCGGACACAGUAGUGAAGACCGUUGUACAAUUUCACAUUAUUGUGCAAAUAUUUUACAAUAAUAUUGUACAAUUCCUCUAUCAGUUACAAAAAGUAUCAAUGAUAUGAGAAUUUGAAACAUAAUUAUAUUUUAAUACUUGAACGAUAAUUAAUUAUAAUUAUUCGUGUACUUAUUAUUUUUCAAUAACGCUUGUCUUAAUAAAAAUGUCUUUUUAAAUAUUAUCUGACGUUAUGAAUAUUGUGUUUAAUUUGUAUGAAAGUUGUAGUCUUGUGUAAAGUUUGUUAUUUCAUUUAUUUUUUGUCAACGUUUAAUUAAUUUUAUCUAUAAAAUAUGAAGCUGUAAUUUUUGGAUGUACUUGCUGUUAUUUGUUUAUCAAUCAAGUUUUUUCUCAAUAGGAAAUUGUAAAAGUUCAAUUAAGAUUGUAGUUUUGUCUUCAAUUUCAGUUUCCUUGGAGUAUUAUUUGAUAAGUAUAAUGGAGUUUGUAUGAUCAAAUCACUUGAUGAUGCAGGAGAUUCAUAACCACUUUGAUAAACCGAUGCACUCUCUGAUAGGGAAGUCGAAGGUCCAGAUGUUGAACAAUGUUCUAUGAUUUCCUGCUAUCUUUGAAAAAUUAUGUUGUCUAAAAUUAAAUAAAAAAUUGUUAUGAAUAGUAGUUCUAAAACUGUUAAUAGUAUUAUAUUUUUUAUAAAUUUUUAAUUAUUUUAGAUAUAAUAUAUAAUAAAUUUUACAAUUUUUAUUUUUUAA
Long non-coding RNA from Daktulosphaira vitifoliae (grape phylloxera), 809 nucleotides. RefSeq lists it as uncharacterized. The record is from RefSeq and is a predicted model, not a curated record. The transcript is spliced from 3 exons. NCBI's taxonomy places the organism in Eukaryota, Metazoa, Arthropoda, Insecta, Hemiptera, Phylloxeridae.